Molecule: long non-coding RNA, 1025 nt
Filed under: Apteryx haastii (Great spotted kiwi)
Lineage: Eukaryota; Metazoa; Chordata; Aves; Apterygiformes; Apterygidae
Description: lncRNA (ENSAHAG00000013405.1)
Source: RNAcentral
CAAAGGAUCCUGCACCCAUCCACGGGGACCCAGGUGUCCAGGGAGCUCCUGCACCCAUCCACAGGGACCCAGAUGUCCGGGAGGUUCCUGUGCUCAUCCCAAAAGACCCAGGUGUCCAGGGGGCUCCUGCACCCAUCCCAAAGGAUCCUGCACCCAUCCAUGGGGACCCAGGUGUCCAGGGAGCUCCUGCACCCAACCCUGGGGAUCCAGGUGUCCGGGAGGCUCCUGCACCCAUCCCAAAGGACCUAGGUGUCCAGGAGAUUCCUGUGCCCAUCCAUGGGGACCCAGGUGCCCAGGAGCUCCCCCCACCCCCCCCUUCACCCCGCGCGGGGCCCCGGCGUCCGGGCGCACCUGUGACCUGGUCGACGAGGAUGCGGGAGGUGAUGAUGCGGCCGUACUGGGAGAAGAGCUGCUCCAUCUCCUUCUGGCCCAUGGCCUUGGGCAGCCCGCUCACGUAGAGGUUGGCGUCGCGGAUGGAGGCCGAGCUGGGCCGCGCGUACGACACCUGCGCGGGCGUCAGCGGGGCCCAGGCGUCCGGGCACGGCUCCCCCACGCCCACCCCAGCCACCCAGGAGUCCCCCAGGGACCUCCCAGGGACCCAGGAGUCCCCCAGGGGCCCAGGUGUCCCCAUGGGGAACCCAAGCACCCCCCCCCCCCAUGGAUCCAGUUGUCCCUCAGGGACCUCCCAGGGAUCCAGGUGUCCCCACGGAUCCAGGUGUCCCCAAGGACCCAGGUGUCCCCAUGGGGAACUCAAUCACCCCCCAUGGAUCCAGGUGUCCCUCAGGGACCUCCCAGGGAUCCAGGUGUCCCCAUGGAUCCAGGUGUCCCCCAGGGACCCAAACACCUGCCAAGGACCCAGGUGUCCCCAUGGGUAACCCAAGCACCCCCCUAUGGAUCCAGGUGUCCCUCAGGGACCUCCCAAGGGUCCAGGUGUCCCCAUGGAUCCAGGUGUCCCCCAGGGACCCAGGUGUCCCCAUGGGGAACCCAAGCUCCCCCCAUGGAUCCAGGUGUCCCUCAGGGACCCA